This 117-nucleotide ribosomal RNA is filed under the name Danio rerio (zebrafish). The record is from RNAcentral. Lineage: Eukaryota; Metazoa; Chordata; Actinopteri; Cypriniformes; Danionidae.
CACCUCAGCCAUAUCACCCUGCAGCCCAAGACCGGUUACUCACUAAAGCUAAGCAGGGCUGAGCCUGGUUAGUACCUGGAUGGGAGACCACUAGGGAACACUAGGUUGCUGUUGGAA